Molecule: long non-coding RNA, 1267 nt
Filed under: Cyanistes caeruleus (blue tit)
Lineage: Eukaryota; Metazoa; Chordata; Aves; Passeriformes; Paridae
Description: lncRNA (ENSCCEG00000019588.1)
Source: RNAcentral
UUCUUCUGCUCACUUCUCCUAGGAUCUUCAGCUCCAUCAUGUGAACUUUGCAGCCAAACCCACCGUGGACCUCACCAUCCUCAAACAGGUUUUCCUGUUUAUGAGGUAGGAGGUCCAAGAGUGAUUGUUCAGCCUGCAGAACCAAGUCACCUCCUGGCUAACCUGCUGAUCACAGCUUUGAGUCUUCCAGCAGAAGAGAUGCUGCACCAGACCAUCUGGAGAAGGAGAAGGCUGCAAUGCUGGAUUUAUAGAAGACAAUCAGAUCUGAACAAAGAAAGAAGAAAUGGAGUAGACUCUGAAUAGAAGGAAUAGACUCUCCUAUUACCUUUUGAGCACUUUUCCAAAGGCCUUAACACACAAAAAAACCCCAACCAAUCUGAAUUUUGUCUGGGCUUCCUGCAGGUUUUAGGCAGUUUUUCCAGUUGCAAGAUUCCAGUCUGGAAUCCUGAAGCAGUGGGUUGGAGCUGUCUUAAAAAUGUUUCCAAAAGAAGGAAAUGGAAAGCAAGUUGCUGUGGUUUAAUGUGGAGCUGAAAACUUGCAUACAUAUUUUAUUGAGUCUCUGGGUAUCCUGGCUGUGAACAAGCACAGGCUGAGUCACACAGAUGUGCACUUCAGAAAAGACUCUGAGGCUCCUCCUGGCCAGCUUAACUCCCGAGGUCUGAUUUAAUACUGAAACCAUCUCCUGCCCCUUUGAUGUGGGUUAAGCUCUUUUCAUCAUGCCUGUUUAGGAGCUGUUUAUUUUUCACUUAACCUUUCCCUUUGCAUUUGUUUAAUUAAAAGAUUUCUCGAGAAGUCACAUCACCACAGUGCCACAUUCCACCGCCUUUGUCAAGAUUAUAUAGAAGUGCUUCUCUAAUAAUUGUCCUGGGAUUUAGGAGAAUUCUGCAAACAGGUCACCUCCCUGCCUCCAAGUCUGUUUCCCAUAUUAAACAGAUUGCCACUCUGCCUGUAAUACCUUGGAAGUCUGGUUUAUCACACCACAAACAGGUACAGAACUGAAGAAAAUCUCUCUCAGCUGUUUACAUCAAUUGCUACUGUUAAUUUAUGAUCACUGUAUUAAAUCCAUUUAGUUUAGCAAAAGGACUGUAAAUUAAUUCUGUGAUUUGGGAACUUGCUGAAGUUAUUACUGCACAGCACCUUAUUAAAGCAUUUGAGCACUUCUAGCCUGUACAAAUAUACUGUGAUGCUCUGAUAGUCUCAGUGGCUUUUAACUGUGCUGCUGCAGCACUGUAAUAAAUUUCUUUAAGAGAAAAUUUGGGUGAUGAUU